GUUUCUGUAGUGUAGUGGUUAUCACGUUCGCAUUACACAGGAAAGUUCCUCGGUUUGAAUCCAGGCGGAAACA
RNAcentral lists this transfer RNA (73 nucleotides) under Salmo salar (Atlantic salmon). It matches the Rfam family "tRNA". From Rfam's summary of the family: Transfer RNA (tRNA) molecules are approximately 80 nucleotides in length. Their secondary structure includes four short double-helical elements and three loops (D, anti-codon, and T loops). Further hydrogen bonds mediate the characteristic L-shaped molecular structure. tRNAs have two regions of fundamental functional importance: the anti-codon, which is responsible for specific mRNA codon recognition, and the 3' end, to which the tRNAs corresponding amino acid is attached (by aminoacyl-tRNA synthetases). tRNAs cope with the degeneracy of the genetic code in two manners: having more than one tRNA (with a specific anti-codon) for a particular amino acid; and 'wobble' base-pairing, i.e. permitting non-standard base-pairing at the 3rd anti-codon position. Lineage: Eukaryota; Metazoa; Chordata; Actinopteri; Salmoniformes; Salmonidae. The record is from Rfam by way of RNAcentral.